Manihot esculenta (cassava) is the source of this 1360-nucleotide long non-coding RNA. RefSeq lists it as uncharacterized. Lineage: Eukaryota; Viridiplantae; Streptophyta; Magnoliopsida; Malpighiales; Euphorbiaceae. The record is from RefSeq and is a predicted model, not a curated record. The transcript has 2 exons.
CAUCCACCUCUGCUAAAACCUUUUACAUGUGUCUUGUUUGUUAGAGAUAAUAUGCUUAAUUGAAUUAGAAAUUGAAAAAAUAAAAAUAAAAAUAAAAAUUAUAGUAAUUGGUAGAGCACUUAGUCUGUUUUAUAUUGAAAGCUCCCCUCAACCCACUUUCCUCUGGAAUAAAGAGAAGAUGGACAGAGAGAGAGAGAGUUUAAAGAUGUUUGCUUUGUGGGUUUCUACUACUGCAACUAGAGGAGACAUCCAAAGGGAUCGCAUUGAUCCUAAGCUCUUCUUCUCUCCCCGUAUUUUAAUCUUUUGGAUCAUGCUAUCCCUUUGGAUUCCUCCUUUGGUAGCUUCUUCAUGGCCUUUUCACGGCGGCUCAGUCCAUGCACCACCAACUCAUCUCCAUGCAUCCCAAGUUGAAAACUGCCGGACGCCGAAUAACCCAGUUUUGAAGUAUGUGGCCAGAAGCCAAUGGAAAUAUCGAUAGAUCAGUCAGUUCCCAGAAGAAGCUCUCUGAUUCUCCUUAUGCAUAUUAAUAUUUCUUUUUCAAAAUAAAAAUCAGUUAUUUUCAAACAGUUAGAAUAUAGGGUUUUUUUUUUUUUUUAAAUAUGAUUUGUCUCUUGUAAAUGGGAUUGAGAAUUUUUCUUUGAAUGAAUCAAGAAUCAUCAUGAACAAGAAAACCAAGUGGAAGCAAGCUAUUUGAUAAAACAGUGACCCCAUGUGUAGAGAAUAGCAAUAAUUUCUAUAAGCUUUGACAAGAACUUAAUUGCCCCAUUUCUGGAAACUUUUGAUCAUUACAUACUUCCAACAAAUUGAUUUCACCUUUACAAAAAGUAUCUUUUUUUUUUCUUUUUCUCUUCUUCUUUUCUUUAAAAAUGAUUUAAAACCCUAGAAUUAAUUGCAGAAAGAAUGAGAAUUUUUAUAUUUUUCUCGCUCAGUCUUGUGAUGUUACUUUCUGCAAUUGCCUAAUUAGCUAUGCCCUAAAAGCUAAGAAAGUUGGGUUAAAAAGUCCUUAAAAAGACUAGCAUGGCCAUGUUUUCAUGGCUAUGUGGCCCUUGGUAAGACUCCAAAUCACAUGGUUUGAGGACUUUAAUUAGAAUCCAAGGCAAUGGAAGAUGAUAUUAAAGGACUUUUUUUUUCCACUUUGGGCUUCAUAUUGAGUGUCCCAAAGGCAAAAGAAUCAUCUACAUGUGGUGAAAGGAAAAAAGAAAAGAAAAGGAGUCCUCUAAACCUUGCCCUAAUUUUCAACUACAGGCUUCUUUUUUUUUUUUUUCAAUCCUAGCUAGCUAGCACAUGACUCCCAAAAUUCAAGUAAUCUCUCAUACCCAUUUGAUGAUCUAUAUCUUUUUGGCACAUGGCCUCAACAUUU